CGNCACCGCCUCCACCUCCACCUCCACCACCGCCGCCUCCACCUCCACCUCCACCUCCUCCUCCGCCACCACCACCACCUCCACCUCCUCCUCCGCCACCACCACCGCCGCCGCCUCCACCACCACCACCAUCACCAUCACCGCCUCCACCUCCACCACCUCCUCCGCCACCAUCUCCUUGUCCGCCACCACCUUCACCACCUCCUCCUCCGGCAACUUACUACCAUUAUCUCUGAUGAGACAAGAGCUUGGAAUUUUUUAUUCUUCUUUUCUUCCAAAUUGGUAUACGUAAGAGAAUUAGAGGUAGUGUUUAAUUGGUCAUAUAUGUAAAAAUAAAUUAUAAGAAUUUAGCUAUUUCCAUUUUAACCGUUUGGAUUGAAGGUUGGUCAGGCAACUUUGUUUUGAAUUUGAGAACAAAUAUUAUGGUUGUUAAUUCUUGAGUGUGUCAUUGCACACAUAGUUAUAUAUACAUAAACAUAUACUCAAUUACUCAUAGUUGAAUUCAAUAUAACUCAGCUUGUGAAUGUGCAGAAUCGGGUUUUCGCCAUUGUCUCUAAAAACUCCAAGUCUAAACCAAGUUUUAGGUGAAAUUGACAAAAUUGUUGCUUCAUAAACAAAAUCGUCACUUGUCGGGUCAAUGACGGUGAUUCAUUUUUUUUGUUGUAUCAUGAAUGAAUGUCGGGUUUGUUAAGUCGUUAUCAUUGAUAAUUACCAAAAUAAUUAUUUUUAUAGCUAAGUUUACCAAUUCAAAUGCCACAUUUUGAAUUGAAACUCGUCAAAUAUUUUAUAAAAUAAUUCAGCAAGGCUAAC
Molecule: long non-coding RNA, 810 nt
Filed under: Medicago truncatula (barrel medic)
Lineage: Eukaryota; Viridiplantae; Streptophyta; Magnoliopsida; Fabales; Fabaceae
Description: long non-coding RNA (MTRU_LNC007779)
Source: RNAcentral